UGAUCCUGCCGGAGGCUACUGCUAUCGGGGUCCGACUAAGCCAUGCGAGUUGAGAGGGGUAAGCCCUCGGCAUAUUGCUCAGUAACACGCGGAUAACCUGCCCUUGGGUUUGGGAUAACCCCGGGAAACUGGGACUAAUACCGGAUAGAUCAAAGAUACUGGAAUGUUCUUUGUUCGAAAGCUCCGGCGCCCAAGGAUGGGUCUGCGGCCUAUCAGGUAGUAGUGGGUGUAACGUACCUACUAGCCUACGACGGGUAAGGGUUGUGAGAGCAAGAGCCCUGAGAUGGAUUCUGAGACAUGAAUCCAGGCCCUACGGGGUGCAGCAGGCGCGAAAACUUUACACUGCGGGAAACCGCGAUAAGGGGACCCCGAGUGCCAGCACCUAGUGCUGGCUGUCCAGCUGUUCAAAAAACAGUUGUUAGCAAGGGCCGGGCAAGACCGGUGCCAGCCGCCGCGGUAACACCGGCGGCCCGAGUGGUAGCCGUUAUUAUUGGGUUUAAAGGGUCCGUAGCCGGCUUAUUAAGUCUCUUGGGAAAUCUGGCGACUCAACCGUCAGGCGUUCAAGAGAUACUGGUAGGCUUGGGACCGGGAGAGGUGGGAGGUACUCCAGGGGUAGGGGUGAAAUCUCGUAAUCCUUGGGGGACCACCGAUGGCGAAGGCAUCCCACCAGAACGGGUCCGACGGUGAGGGACGAAAGCUGGGGGCACGAACCGGAUUAGAUACCCGGGUAGUCCCAGCUGUAAACGAUGCUCGCUAGGUGUCAGGUGCGGUGCGACCGCAUUUGGUGCCGUAGUGAAAACUUGAAGCGAGUCACCUGGGAAGUACGGUCGCAAGGCUGAAACUUAAAGGAAUUGGCGGGGGAGCACUACAACGGGUGGAGCCUGCGG
RNAcentral lists this ribosomal RNA (887 nucleotides) under uncultured ANME-2 cluster archaeon. RNAcentral's name for it is "bacterial SSU rRNA". It matches the Rfam family "Archaeal small subunit ribosomal RNA", at positions 9 to 900 of the family's 1478-position model. The record is from RNAcentral. Lineage: Archaea; Methanobacteriati; Methanobacteriota; Methanomicrobia; Methanosarcinales.